GAUGAACGCUGGCGGCGUGCCUAAUACAUGCAAGUCGAGCGAACAGACGAGGAGCUUGCUCCUCUGACGUUAGCGGCGGAAAUGCGAGUAACACGUGGAUAACCUACCUAUAAGACUGGGAUAACUUCGGGAAACCGGAGCGAAUACCGUAUAAUAUAUUGAACAGCAUGGUUCAAUAGUGAAAGACGGGUUUGCUGUCACUUAUAGAUGGAUCCACGCUGCAUUAGCUAGUUGGUAAGGUAACGGCUUACCAAGGCAACGAUGCGUAGCCGACCUGAGAGGGUGAUCGGCCAAACUGGAACUGAGACACGGUCCAGACUCCUACGGGAGGCAGCAGUAGGGAAUCUUCCGCAAUGGGCGAAAGCUUGACGGAGCAACGGCGCGUGAGUGAUGAAGGUCUUCGGAUCGUAAAACUCUGUUAUUUGGGAAGAACAAAUGUGUAAGUAACUAUGCACGUCUUGACGGUACCUACUCAGAAAGCCACGGCUAACUACGUG
Molecule: ribosomal RNA, 497 nt
Filed under: uncultured bacterium
Lineage: Bacteria
Description: partial 16S ribosomal RNA
Rfam family: Bacterial small subunit ribosomal RNA
Source: RNAcentral